GCUUGCUUCUCUUGAGAGCGGCGGACGGGUGAGUAAUGCCUAGGAAUCUGCCUGGUAGUGGGGGAUAACGUUCGGAAACGGACGCUAAUACCGCAUACGUCCUACGGGAGAAAGCAGGGGACCUUCGGGCCUUGCGCUAUCAGAUGAGCCUAGGUCGGAUUAGCUAGUUGGUGAGGUAAUGGCUCACCAAGGCGACGAUCCGUAACUGGUCUGAGAGGAUGAUCAGUCACACUGGAACUGAGACACGGUCCAGACUCCUACGGGAGGCAGCAGUGGGGAAUAUUGGACAAUGGGCGAAAGCCUGAUCCAGCCAUGCCGCGUGUGUGAAGAAGGUCUUCGGAUUGUAAAGCACUUUAAGUUGGGAGGAAGGGCAGUUACCUAAUACGUGAUUGUUUUGACGUUACCGACAGAAUAAGCACCGGCUAACUCUGUGCCAGCAGCCGCGGUAAUACAGAGGGUGCAAGCGUUAAUCGGAAUUACUGGGCGUAAAGCGCGCGUAGGUGGUUUGUUAAGUUGGAUGUGAAAUCCCCGGGCUCAACCUGGGAACUGCA
Molecule: ribosomal RNA, 551 nt
Filed under: uncultured bacterium
Lineage: Bacteria
Description: bacterial SSU rRNA
Rfam family: Bacterial small subunit ribosomal RNA
Source: RNAcentral